GUAUGUUCACAAGUUAGCAAAUUCCCGAGUUACCGUAAACUUAUUCGUAACAAUAUAAACAUGAGUUUAAUAAUUCUAAGUUAAGAAAUGUAAUUAAUCUAACACAAUUACGUCAUCUUGAUUAAAAUCAUAUUUUGAAAUCGUGCAUUUGAGAUUUAUUUCUUUAGUUCAUUUAGUUUAAAAUCUUAGUUUUGAAUCACC
RNAcentral lists this long non-coding RNA (201 nucleotides) under Gossypium barbadense (sea-island cotton). Its description in RNAcentral is "long non-coding RNA (GBAR_LNC014326)". Lineage: Eukaryota; Viridiplantae; Streptophyta; Magnoliopsida; Malvales; Malvaceae. The record is from RNAcentral.